This is a long non-coding RNA of Labrus mixtus (cuckoo wrasse), 1114 nucleotides long. RefSeq lists it as uncharacterized. The record is from RefSeq and is a predicted model, not a curated record. Lineage: Eukaryota; Metazoa; Chordata; Actinopteri; Labriformes; Labridae. The transcript is spliced from 3 exons.
UGAAGAAAUGUGUAAGUACAACAAACCACCGUAUUCAAAGUCUAAUAUUUAAACACACUGUGUUUUAAAAAAAUCCCGCUAUUUUGAUCAUUAUUGAAAAUACGUGGGCUGCUGGGUCCUCUGUUUUUAACGAAAUCGUUCUAUAUUUAAGCUAUAUUUAAGCUAGGUUAGCACCACAGACCGUAGGCUACAGGUGGUAAGAUAUGUUGUAUUUUGUUAGAAACUGAUAGUCUGUAAUGUGAUUCAUGUCUGCUUCUCUAAUAUAUUUAAGUGAACAGUAAAUCAAUUGUUUUUUGUGUCUUCAUUUAGGCAAAGAAGAGAUAAAAGCAGCUGGUCUGACAUCUUCCACAGAGGUGAAGUAAACUAAAAAUGACUAAUUUCAACCUUCGUCUGCACACCUGUUACAGAGGUCAGGCUGGGGUCACAUAGUUUGAAGGAACCUCCUCCUUCUUUCACCUGUGCCAGAUGCCCUGCUCAUCCACUGUGGUAGAAAUGACCUUACAUCAGCAGCUCUCCCAGAUGAAGAGUCCUCUCUGCCAUCACCCAGAGGAGCUGAUCAACAUCUUGAGAAGGUGGACAGAGUCUGGUGCUUUGUGACAGUGAACAGUGAGAAGGCUACCAUAGUCAUCCUCAGAUAAAACACAGAGAUCCAGGUCAAUAUUUAAUUUAUUUUUCUUUCCAUGAUGUUGCCCUGUGUUUGACAGGCCAGAUGCUGGAGGGUUGUGUUGGAUUUGUUUUUCCAUCAUAGUUUAACAGUCAAACAAUCAUCCAGGAUCUUUAUACUUUAUUAGAUUUUUGUUUGGAUUUAUUUGUUAAAUUAUUUUUUAUACUUUCUCCUAUGUUCCAGCAGUUCAACCUGAUGGUCUCCCUUACUUAUUUUCCACAUGGUUAAUGAAGCCAGGGGUUGUUUAUUGAAGUUUUUUUUUUUUCAUAAAAUGUUUAAAUAAACUUUUUUAAAAUCUGAAUUGACUGUCUCUGAUUAACUGGAGCACUACAACGUGUUGGUCACAGUAAAAUAAUUUAGCAGUUAAGUUUAUAGCUCACAUUUGAAAAGGCCUUGAACUGACAUUAAUUUCUUCUUGACCAACAACAGCUAAGACAACAGCAAAGCUAA